GUGAAUCAUCGAAUUUUUGAACGCAAAUUGCACUCUCCGGUUUUCCGGGAGAGUAUGCCUGUUUGAGGGCCAGCCUAAAAAAAAUCGACAUUGUUGGGGUUUUAUGGUGACUUUCGGCGGAGAGGGGUGAUCUUAAAUCUCGGUUUAAGCGACUUAAAAUUUUUUUUUAUGAUUCUAAGAAUGUUUCUAAGAAUUUUCUUGUACGUUUAAGGUAGAGAAUGUCUUAUUAGACGUGGCCGCUAUAGCGGUAUG
Molecule: unclassified non-coding RNA, 252 nt
Filed under: Glomus sp.
Lineage: Eukaryota; Fungi; Glomeromycota; Glomeromycetes; Glomerales; Glomeraceae
Description: partial contains 5.8S ribosomal RNA and internal transcribed spacer 2
Rfam family: 5.8S ribosomal RNA (bases 1-72)
Source: RNAcentral